GACAGAGGGUGCAAACGUUGCUCGGAGUUACUGGGCGUAAAGCGCGUGUAGGCGGCCAGGUAGGUCCGAUGUGAAAACUGGAGGCUCAACCUCCAGCUGUCAUUGGAAACCAUCUGGCUAGAGUCCGGAAGAGGAGAGUGGAAUUCCUGGUGUAGCGGUGAAAUGCGCAGAUAUCAGGAAGAACACCGAUGGCGAAGGCAGCUCUCUGGGACGGUACUGACGCUGAGACGCGAAAGCGUGGGGAGCGAACAGG
RNAcentral lists this ribosomal RNA (253 nucleotides) under uncultured bacterium. RNAcentral's name for it is "partial 16S ribosomal RNA". It matches the Rfam family "Bacterial small subunit ribosomal RNA", at positions 524 to 776 of the family's 1533-position model. The record is from RNAcentral.